RNAcentral lists this ribosomal RNA (497 nucleotides) under uncultured bacterium. RNAcentral describes it as "partial 16S ribosomal RNA". It matches the Rfam family "Bacterial small subunit ribosomal RNA", at positions 28 to 507 of the family's 1533-position model. The record is from RNAcentral.
GAUGAACGCUGGCGGCGUGCCUAAUACAUGCGAGUCGAGCGAACGGACGAGAAGCUUGCUUUUCUGAUGUUAGCGGCGGACGGGUGAGUAACACGUGGAUAACCUACCUAUAAGACUGGGAUAACUUCGGGAAACCGGAGCUAAUACCGGAUAAUAUUUUGAACCGCAUGGUUCAAAAGUGAAAGACGGUCUUGCUGUCACUUAUAGAUGGAUCCGCGCUGCAUUAGCUAGUUGGUAAGGUAACGGCCUACCAAGGCAACGAUGCAUAGCCGACCUGAGAGGGUGAUCGGCCACACUGGAACUGAGACACGGUCCAGACUCCUACGGGAGGCAGCAGUAGGGAAUCUUCCGCAAUGGGCGAAAGCCUGACGGAGCAACGCCGCGUGAGUGAUGAAGGUCUUCGGAUCGUAAAACUCUGUUAUUAGGGAAGAACAUAUGUGUAAGUAACUGUGCACAUCUUGACGGUACCUAAUCAGAAAGCCACGGCUAACUACGUG